Molecule: long non-coding RNA, 2069 nt
Organism: Manis javanica (Malayan pangolin)
Lineage: Eukaryota; Metazoa; Chordata; Mammalia; Pholidota; Manidae
Source: RefSeq, a predicted model, not a curated record
CCUGUCUCAUUAGAGAAGAAGUUAGUGCUUUUGAAAGCUUGCCUCUUACUCAUUCAGCUAAUUUACAAAGGUUACAGACACUAUUCUCAAGAAGGUUACAGACUAGUGAGAGAAAGGAGAACUGCUGUCCACACAGGAGUGAGACCCCGUAGCUGCAUUUGUAACAUGUGACUUUAUUCUUCUCUACAGAAGACCGGAUGGUAGGGAAACAUUUGCUCAUCAGGGUCAAUGUAUUCUCUCCCCCAAUUUUGUAGUUGGAACACAGCAAUUCAGGCCAAUUUUGACUGCCAGAUAUUAAAGGACAUGUGAACUUAGGGCUGGGCUGAAGCAGAGGCUGUGGCAGCCAUUUGAGCACCCAUUUUGGAACAACAUGCACCAAGAGACAAGCACAGAGAAUGGUCUUCGGCAAGAAGCAGGAUGAUAACAAACAGGAAGAAGACAGCUAGAUUUUCAGUUCUGGAGAACAGUCUCUUUUCCUGAAAGCAUUUCAGUUCUAGAUCUAGCUCUAGGCCAGCCCUGGCUGUGUUCCUACUGCUAUGGUCUCAGAGGUUACAUGGCAUCUUUAUACAUUUUCUAUUUUUCUUCUUAAUUUACUGUGUGAAUGUCUGUUUCUUUCUGCUUCAUCUACAUCAUCAGUCUUUUCUAACUUAUAACAAACUAUAAAAAUGCCAACUUUGCCAGUGGUAUUGUAUAGGAGACAUUAAGCUCCUUGGUUAGUUUGUAAGCGUUUAAGGACAGUGCUUUUAUCUUACCAAUUAUCUUACCAAUCUUACCUAUGGGUCAUAGCGCAGUGCCUCAUAUACAAUAAAUGCUCCAUAAAAAUGUGCUUUAUUAAAUGAACAUGAAGGAUUAAAUGAGAAUUUGGUAUAUCUGCACCAUCCACUGUGAUUCCCUCAAAUUUUUUUAUAUCAGUGGAUCACUUUCAUCUUUUUUACUUACUUCACAUUUUUAGAUGUACAACCCUUAAUCUUAACACCAAGAAGAAACAUCAAGCAUGCUGGCAAAUGAGCUAUAGGCAAGGCUACAUAUCUGAUGAUUAUUGUCUAGGACAUCAGUCAAAUGGCAGCUGGACAAUUUUUAAUACUUUAAGAAAGUCUGGUUAUUGAUUGUUCUUUCUGUAUUUCAUUUUUUUUUACAUUUCUGCCCUUUUUCAGGUGAUUGGAUCCUAGGAACUUCCAGACAACUGUACAACUCUAUAAAGUGUUGAUGUCAUUAAAUCACACAUGAGGAAGAGCUUUUGCUCUUUUUUAACUUCCAGUCCUAACACAUUUAUAAGGGCUCUGAAAAACAAAGAGCCCUACAGGCUUCCGUUGUGUUUAUGGCCAUUCCCACCUUGCAGGUUUUUAUAGAUGCCUCAUCUGAAGUGUUUUGUAAAUCAAAUGAACUGGAUGGGUGAGAUUUUCUUUCUCCCAGAGUGAGAGGUCAUUAUUUUCUAGAGAGAAUUCAGUCAGUAACAGAAUUGAAGGCUCUGCAACAUUACUCCACCUUUUACUUUUUCAUUGAAGAAAUCAUGGUCCUGACAAUUUACCCACUUUUACUUUUACCCAGGUCUUCACUGAAUCAUGUUAUAUUGUUUUCAACAAAUAUCUUUUGUUUUUUUUCUGCAGUUAGGGGUAGAGAUAGUGAUAAUAGGGAAGAGAAGGGAAGUAGAGAAAGUCAGGAAGAGAAAUUGUAUUGAGCUUUACUUUUAGAAAUACAAAAAACUACUAGAGAAGAGUAAUGGAGACUUAUGGAGAGCUGUUUUGCAAUUAAGAAAUCUUUUUUUCUCCUACUUUUCCUUUGCUCUCAAAAACUUAUUGUGAUCAUCUAUCUUUAUACAUUGAUAUGUUUCACUAAGUAGUCAGGGAAGGACACAUUAACCUUGAUAUAUCAAUAUAGGACAAGAUGAAAGGUGCCUGUCAACUUGUACCUACUGAGUCUGAAUCAUUUUGUCCAUGAAAGUCACAAUAUCAAACACAAAAUUUUGGAGCUGGAAGAGACUUUAGUCAUUACAUAAUAAUGAAUUUUGUCAUUAAUAUAAUAUUUGUUUAAAUUCCAUCUUAUCCAAAGAUUUCAUUUUGUGUAUGAGA